UACGUAGGGGGCGAGCGUUGUCCGGAUUCAUUGGGCGUAAAGAGCUCGUAGGCGGCUUGGCAAGUCGGGUGUGAAACCUCCAGGCUCAACCUGGAGACGCCACUCGAUACUGCCAUGGCUUGAGUCUGGUAGGGGAUCACGGAAUUCCUGGUGUAGCGGUGAAAUGCGCAGAUAUCAGGAGGAACACCGGUGGCGAAGGCGGUGAUCUGGGCCAGUGCUGACGCUGAGGAGCGAAAGCGUGGGGAGCAAACAGG
RNAcentral lists this ribosomal RNA (254 nucleotides) under uncultured bacterium. RNAcentral's name for it is "partial 16S ribosomal RNA". It matches the Rfam family "Bacterial small subunit ribosomal RNA", at positions 524 to 776 of the family's 1533-position model. The record is from RNAcentral.